RNAcentral lists this ribosomal RNA (465 nucleotides) under uncultured bacterium. RNAcentral's name for it is "partial 16S ribosomal RNA". It matches the Rfam family "Bacterial small subunit ribosomal RNA", at positions 338 to 795 of the family's 1533-position model. The record is from RNAcentral.
CCUACGGGGGGCUGCAGUAGGGAAUCUUCCACAAUGGGCGAAAGCCUGAUGGAGCAACGCCGCGUGGGUGAAGAAGGUCUUCGGAUCGUAAAACCCUGUUGUUAGAGAAGAAAGUGCGUGAGAGUAACUGUUCACGUUUCGACGGUAUCUAACCAGAAAGCCACGGCUAACUACGUGCCAGCAGCCUCGGUAGUACGUAGGUGGCAAGCUUUAUCCGGAUUUUUUGGGCGUAAAGGGAACGCAGGCGGUCUUUUAAGUCUGAUGUGAAAGCCUUCGGCUUAACCGGUGUCGUGCAUUGGAAACUGGGAGACUUGAGUGCAGAAGAGGAAAGUGGAACUCCAUGUGUAGCGGUGAAAUGCGUAGAUAUAUGGAAGAACACCAGUGGCGAAGGCGGCUCUCUGGUCUGUAACUGACGCUGAGGUUCGAAAGCGUGGGUAGCAAACAGGAUUAGAUACCCCAGUAGUC